ACCGUGAAAACGGAGACAGGCCGGCUAGAGCGUAACAAGUGUCAAGACAACUCCAGUUUGCUUGUCAACAAAGAAAACAUGCAACACUGAGCCCGUACACGUAAGUUAUUUUCAUUCGGGAAACUUGAAAUUAUCUGUUCCUCAAAGCUCACAAUUUUUCUAAGCUUCACUCGAACUACUUAUACAACCUCUGAGCAUAUUUUGCGAAAAAUGGAAGCUGUUGUUGUACAUUCAUGUUUCAGAUAUUCUUGGGAAUGCUUGCGAAGAGUAUCUAGAACAAUCGAGCAUCUAAUCACGUACCCUUGGACACAUUAGAUCCAAGCGAUUGAACAAAGAUUCUAAACUCCCUCGACAAUUUAAAUUACAUCAUAGCGUGCACGCAAGGUCUACCUAUUUCCCAAGGCCUACCGCGGUAAAAAAAUCCUUAUGUACAGUACGACCGUGCAUCCAUCACAUGACAAGUAUAGCCGCGAGGUUUCAAAACUUUCGAGAUUUUUUCCCGCUCUAUCCCGAUUGAGAUAGAUAUGGUAGGGUAAGGUAAGGUAUAAACUUUAUUUUACCAGAGUGGGCCAAUCAGCCGUUAGGCUGGUAUCCAGAGGGGCCCAGAGCAGACCUUUUGGAGCUCAAAAUGAAAAUAAACAUGUAAGUAAUACUAAUUUCGAAAAACAAUGAACAUCUAGUACUUUCAAGCGACGAAAUUAGUCUCAAACGCGAUGCGAAUCAUGGCUGAAAAAAACAAAACUAAGCUUUCUGACUUCAACUGAGGCUCUGCGAUGUCGGGUAAUCUUCAUUAAACGGUAUUUUGAAGUGUUGAUAUGUCUUAAAAGUGUUGUUAGUGUUGUUCAAUGAUUUGAAAUCGUACAAUUUUUAGAAUUUUCAUCAAAUUUAGUGCUACUUACAAUUUAUGCGUUUGUUUGUUUAUUUAUAAGCGAAUCUUUCGGUACUUUUACAAAAUAAAAAUUCUAAAUCCAAUCAAAUUUUAUCCAACUACUUUCUGCUACCUUGAUUUAAUUUAUUAAUUUUAUUAUCCUAUCUCAUGAAAUUUCCUUUAAUCUUCGAUUUGAUAAGUAAGACCAUCAGCUUGCUUUUCUUUUGAAUAUUUUUAUUUUUACUUUACUGGUAGGCUCUAAAAACAAAUGUGAUUAACAUUUUACUAAUAAAACACCCUGCCUUUGGUCUAUGAUACAUAGCAAUGAGAAAUGAUCUAACAAGAAUCUCUCAAUGGAUUUGUUGGCUACGAAUACUUAUUCACCUUUGAAAUUCUCAGCUAAAUGACGUUGUAUAUUUAUACUCAAGAGUUGUUAUAUUUUUAUCCUUCUCCCCCCAUCCAUCCUCCACUAACUUUAUUCCUUUCCUUAAUUUGUCUCUUUGUUUGUUUGUACCAUGAAUAAUGUUUGCACGGAAAAAUCUGCUUGUGAUAAGGCUGUUGGUAUCUGUGAUCAAGAAGAGGGAAUGGAAUGCAACAUAGACUGCUGUUCAGAAGACCUGGCAACGGUGAUGAUAGAAAGUGACUUGGCAGGUUUCGAGACAUCUUCGUAGCCUCAGAGGAGCAUUACUUAUUGUGGUUGAUGCUCAGUUGACUGCUUUCCGAAACUAUGAAAAUCAUAAAGGGAGAGGAAGUUUUCCUCUCUACCUUAUUUAGAAAUAUGUAACGCAAAGAAGUUUAGUCUAUUUACCUCUUCGUAGCAUACAUAAAGCAGUGAAGAUUAUAUAAAAUGCUUUAACUUAUUCCAUAGUCGCACUAAGAGUUGUUUGUUGUGUUACAGAAUGUGACCUCAUGCAUGCAUGUAUUCAACAGUGGACUGUUGAAUUAAUUAAGUUGUGAUAAACGUUCCCGGAUCAUCUUCUUCUUUCGGGAUUAACCUAACUGACUCGUGUGUUCUCCGUGCAAUCCGUUUUUAUUCCAUCCCAUCCCAUCAUGACAGAAGGAGCGAAUUUAACACAGUGUAUAUUUUCAAUGUCCUGUUUGGUAAUGUUCCUGAAUUGAAGUCAUUGCAUUCCUUGUUUGUUUUGGUAAGAAUUAAAAUUCAGGUUUAAUAAAAUUGUUAUGUUGCAAGUA
This 2059-nucleotide long non-coding RNA is filed under the name Pocillopora damicornis (cauliflower coral). Its description in RNAcentral is "uncharacterized LOC113684610, transcript variant X3". The record is from RNAcentral. Lineage: Eukaryota; Metazoa; Cnidaria; Anthozoa; Scleractinia; Pocilloporidae.